CAAGUCGAACGGGUGUAGCAAUACACAGUGGCGAACGGCGGAGUAAUACAUAAGCAACGUGCCCUGAAGACUGGGAUAGUCAGAGGAAACUCUGGGUAAUACCAGAUGUGGCCGUCACCCCGCAUGGGGAGACGAUUAAAUGGAUUUUCGCUUCAGGAGCGGCUUAUGGCCUAUCAGGUAGUUGGUGGGGUAAUGGCCUACCAAGCCGACGACGGGUAGCGGGUCUGAGAGGAUGAUCCGCUCGAGUGGGACUGAGACACGGCCCACACACCUACGGGUGGCAGCAGUUGGGAAUCUUGCACAAUGGGGGAAACCCUGAUGCAGCGACGCCGCGUGGAGGAUGAAGGAUCUAGGUCUGUAAACUCCUUUUUCAGGGAAAGACUUAGGACGGUACCCUGAGAAUAAGGACCGGCUAACUACGUGCCAGCAGCCGCGGUAAGACGUAGGGUCCAAGCGUUGUCCGGAUUUACUGGGCGUAAAGAGCUCGUAGGCGGCUCGUUAAGUGUGAAGCUAAAUCUCCAGGCUCAACCUGGAAACUAUUUCGCAUACUGGCGAGCUAGAGUGAUGCAGAGGUUUGUGGAAUUCCUGGUGUAGCGGUGAAAUGCGUUGAUAUCAGGAGGAACACCCAUGGCGAAGGCAGCAAACUGGGCAUCAACUGACGCUGAGGAGCGAAAGCGUGGGUAGCAAACAGGAUUAGAUACCCUGGUAGUCCACGCCCUAAACGAUGGAUACUAGGCGUAAGAGGUAUCGACCCCUCUUGUGCCGCAGCUAACGCAUUAAGUAUCCCGCCUGGGGAGUACGGCCGCAAGGUUGAAACUCAAAUGAAUUGACGGGGACCCGCACAAGCGGUGGAGCAUGUGGAUUAAUUCGAUACUAACCCGAAGAACCUUACCC
RNAcentral lists this ribosomal RNA (894 nucleotides) under uncultured Actinomycetes bacterium. RNAcentral describes it as "bacterial SSU rRNA". It matches the Rfam family "Bacterial small subunit ribosomal RNA", at positions 58 to 976 of the family's 1533-position model. Lineage: Bacteria; Bacillati; Actinomycetota; Actinomycetes. The record is from RNAcentral.